Molecule: transfer RNA, 71 nt
Filed under: Myoviridae sp. ctWPU11
Lineage: Duplodnaviria; Heunggongvirae; Uroviricota; Caudoviricetes
Description: tRNA-Glu
Rfam family: tRNA
About the family: Transfer RNA (tRNA) molecules are approximately 80 nucleotides in length. Their secondary structure includes four short double-helical elements and three loops (D, anti-codon, and T loops). Further hydrogen bonds mediate the characteristic L-shaped molecular structure. tRNAs have two regions of fundamental functional importance: the anti-codon, which is responsible for specific mRNA codon recognition, and the 3' end, to which the tRNAs corresponding amino acid is attached (by aminoacyl-tRNA synthetases). tRNAs cope with the degeneracy of the genetic code in two manners: having more than one tRNA (with a specific anti-codon) for a particular amino acid; and 'wobble' base-pairing, i.e. permitting non-standard base-pairing at the 3rd anti-codon position.
Source: RNAcentral
GGUAAAGAGGGAUAUGAGGGCAACGGCCUUUCACGCCGUCGACAGGGGUUCAAAUCCCCUUGGGGACGCCA